AUACAUGAAAUUUCCUAUUUAAUAUUGCAUUAUUUUGACUUAGUAUGAUUAUCACGGACCUUAAUAUAAAUCCGUGGCUUUAUUAAUGCUAAAUGCUUUAUUGUACAAACGGUAUCUAGGCAUAUCACGCGUUUUCAAAACAGCCAAUGAGUUUAAAGCGUUGGUUUUGUAUCACGUGAAUCCUAUCAACCAAUCAGAAAUAGCGCGGGCGAAAUGAAAAAAGAAAAAAACGCGAUUGGAAAUGGAUGGUUAAUAAAAUUCAGAAUAUUGCAAAACAAGGACAGUGUACAGCGUGUUUAAAUCUUCCAGAAAUGCAGCUGUGCCCUCUUAACAGCAAUUAUAGAUGAAGCAAAGUAUGGUAGCAAGUAAUAUAGAUAUACACACAUGCCGAAGAAGAUUGUAAUAUCUGGAGAAAACAUA
Long non-coding RNA from Ruditapes philippinarum (Manila clam), 420 nucleotides. RefSeq lists it as uncharacterized. NCBI's taxonomy places the organism in Eukaryota, Metazoa, Mollusca, Bivalvia, Venerida, Veneridae. The record is from RefSeq and is a predicted model, not a curated record. The transcript has 3 exons.